UUAAGCGACUAAGCGUACACGGUGGAUGCCCUGGCAGUCAGAGGCGAUGAAGGACGUGCUAAUCUGCGAUAAGCGUCGGUGAGGUGAUAUGAACCGUUAUAACCGGCGAUUUCCGAAUGGGGAAACCCAGUGUGUUUCGACACACUAUCAUUAACUGAAUCCAUAGGUUAAUGAGGCGAACCGGGGGAACUGAAACAUCUAAGUACCCCGAGGAAAAGAAAUCAACCGAGAUUCCCCCAGUAGCGGCGAGCGAACGGGGAGGAGCCCAGAGCCUGAAUCAGUGUGUGUGUUAGUGGAAGCGUCUGGAAAGGCGUGCGAUACAGGGUGACAGCCUCGUACACAAAAAUGCACAUAUUGUGAGCUCGAUGAGUAGGGCGGGACACGUGGUAUCCUGUCUGAAUAUGGGGGGACCAUCCUCCAAGGCUAAAUACUCCUGACUGACCGAUAGUGAACCAGUACCGUGAGGGAAAGGCGAAAAGAACCCCGGCGAGGGGAGUGAAAAAGAACCUGAAACCGUGUACGUACAAGCAGUGGGAGCCUCUUAAUGGGGUGACUGCGUACCUUUUGUAUAAUGGGUCAGCGACUUAUAUUCUGUAGCAAGGUUAACCGAAUAGGGGAGCCGAAGGGAAACCGAGUCUUAACUGGGCGUUAAGUUGCAGGGUAUAGACCCGAAACCCGGUGAUCUAGCCAUGGGCAGGUUGAAGGUUGGGUAACACUAACUGGAGGACCGAACCGACUAAUGUUGAAAAAUUAGCGGAUGACUUGUGGCUGGGGGUGAAAGGCCAAUCAAACCGGGAGAUAGCUGGUUCUCCCCGAAAGCUAUUUAGGUAGCGCCUCGUGAAUUCAUCUCCGGGGGUAGAGCACUGUUUCGGCAAGGGGGUCAUCCCGACUUACCAACCCGAUGCAAACUGCGAAUACCGGAGAAUGUUAUCACGGGAGACACACGGCGGGUGCUAACGUCCGUCGUGAAGAGGGAAACAACCCAGACCGCCAGCUAAGGUCCCAAAGUCAUGGUUAAGUGGGAAACGAUGUGGGAAGGCCCAGACAGCCAGGAUGUUGGCUUAGAAGCAGCCAUCAUUUAAAGAAAGCGUAAUAGCUCACUGGUCGAGUCGGCCUGCGCGGAAGAUGUAACGGGGCUAAACCAUGCACCGAAGCUGCGGCAGCGACACUAUGUGUUGUUGGGUAGGGGAGCGUUCUGUAAGCCUGUGAAGGUGGCCUGUGAGGGUUGCUGGAGGUAUCAGAAGUGCGAAUGCUGACAUAAGUAACGAUAAAGCGGGUGAAAAGCCCGCUCGCCGGAAGACCAAGGGUUCCUGUCCAACGUUAAUCGGGGCAGGGUGAGUCGACCCCUAAGGCGAGGCCGAAAGGCGUAGUCGAUGGGAAACAGGUUAAUAUUCCUGUACUUGGUGUUACUGCGAAGGGGGGACGGAGAAGGCUAUGUUGGCCGGGCGACGGUUGUCCCGGUUUAAGCGUGUAGGCUGGUUUUCCAGGCAAAUCCGGAAAACCAAGGCUGAGGCGUGAUGACGAGGCACUACGGUGCUGAAGCGACAAAUGCCCUGCUUCCAGGAAAAGCCUCUAAGCAUCAGGUAACAUCAAAUCGUACCCCAAACCGACACAGGUGGUCAGGUAGAGAAUACCAAGGCGCUUGAGAGAACUCGGGUGAAGGAACUAGGCAAAAUGGUGCCGUAACUUCGGGAGAAGGCACGCUGAUAUGUAGGUGAAGCGACUCGCUCGUGGAGCUGAAAUCAGUCGAAGAUACCAGCUGGCUGCAACUGUUUAUUAAAAACACAGCACUGUGCAAACACGAAAGUGGACGUAUACGGUGUGACGCCUGCCCGGUGCCGGAAGGUUAAUUGAUGGGGUUAGCGGUAACGCGAAGCUCUUGAUCGAAGCCCCGGUAAACGGCGGCCGUAACUAUAACGGUCCUAAGGUAGCGAAAUUCCUUGUCGGGUAAGUUCCGACCUGCACGAAUGGCGUAAUGAUGGCCAGGCUGUCUCCACCCGAGACUCAGUGAAAUUGAACUCGCUGUGAAGAUGCAGUGUACCCGCGGCAAGACGGAAAGACCCCGUGAACCUUUACUAUAGCUUGACACUGAACAUUGAGCCUUGAUGUGUAGGAUAGGUGGGAGGCUUUGAAGUGUGGACGCCAGUCUGCAUGGAGCCGACCUUGAAAUACCACCCUUUAAUGUUUGAUGUUCUAACGUUGGCCCGUAAUCCGGGUUGCGGACAGUGUCUGGUGGGUAGUUUGACUGGGGCGGUCUCCUCCUAAAGAGUAACGGAGGAGCACGAAGGUUGGCUAAUCCUGGUCGGACAUCAGGAGGUUAGUGCAAUGGCAUAAGCCAGCUUGACUGCGAGCGUGACGGCGCGAGCAGGUGCGAAAGCAGGUCAUAGUGAUCCGGUGGUUCUGAAUGGAAGGGCCAUCGCUCAACGGAUAAAAGGUACUCCGGGGAUAACAGGCUGAUACCGCCCAAGAGUUCAUAUCGACGGCGGUGUUUGGCACCUCGAUGUCGGCUCAUCACAUCCUGGGGCUGAAGUAGGUCCCAAGGGUAUGGCUGUUCGCCAUUUAAAGUGGUACGCGAGCUGGGUUUAGAACGUCGUGAGACAGUUCGGUCCCUAUCUGCCGUGGGCGCUGGAGAACUGAGGGGGGCUGCUCCUAGUACGAGAGGACCGGAGUGGACGCAUCACUGGUGUUCGGGUUGUCAUGCCAAUGGCACUGCCCGGUAGCUAAAUGCGGAAGAGAUAAGUGCUGAAAGCAUCUAAGCACGAAACUUGCCCCGAGAUGAGUUCUCCCUGACUCCUUGAGGGUCCUGAAGGAACGUUGAAGACGACGACGUUGAUAGGCCGGGUGUGUAAGCGCAGCGAUGCGUUGAGCUAACCGGUACUAAUGAACCGUGAGGCUUAACCUU
RNAcentral lists this ribosomal RNA (2902 nucleotides) under Escherichia coli UMEA 3175-1. Its description in RNAcentral is "bacterial LSU rRNA". It matches the Rfam family "Bacterial large subunit ribosomal RNA". The record is from RNAcentral. Lineage: Bacteria; Pseudomonadati; Pseudomonadota; Gammaproteobacteria; Enterobacterales; Enterobacteriaceae.